ACAGGUUCUUUAAAGCGCGCAGGGCGCGCCCACAGAGACAUACCACCUGAGUGGGCUUGUGGUGGCGGCGUGCUGCAGGUUCUGUGCCAAAUUGUUUGGCCACAUUUGCCAUUUCUGGUUGUUGGGAGUGCGUGUUGUCGGGCACGCAUCAUGGGCUCGGGGCUCUCUCCUUUGAGCCUGAGUUGUUGUGGGCUCUUUCCUCCUCCUCCUUCUGCUGUCUGCUGGUGCAUGCGCCUACACUGGCAGGCACAAGGAACCAUCGUGUGCAGAGUGGUGUUGUUUGAGUCGCCACCUCCUAAUUAAGGGGCCCUUGCUUCGUCCACAUUUCAUCAGUUGCCAACAGCUGUGUAUAUUGGUUUGCAGAGGGCGCCCUCUGCAGGUGCUGUUGGCGCACUACACGGGAUUGAUUUCACCUGCUGUGAUUGAUGUGGGUGGGUGGGGGGUUAUUCCUCCUCAGCUGAGUUUGAUGCAUGUUUGGUUGUGUUUUUUUUUUGUUUGGUUUGCUGUUAAUGCUUUGGUUUGCAGUGUUUUUUUUUUUGUAUUAAUUUGGUUUCUUUUGUCUGAGUUGGACCCUUGCUCACCCACAUUAAUUCGGUUGAAGCUGAAUAAUUUAACUCGGUUGAGUGCAAUAGUAUAUUGAUGGAAAGCUGAAUAAUUUAAUUCAGUUAAGCGCAAUAUACACUCAACAAAAAUAUAAACGCAACACUUUUUUGGUUUUGCUCCCAUUUGUAUGAGAUGAACUCAAAGAUCUAAACUUUUUCCACAUACACAAUAUCACCA
Thalassophryne amazonica is the source of this 780-nucleotide long non-coding RNA. RefSeq lists it as uncharacterized. The transcript is spliced from 3 exons. The record is from RefSeq and is a predicted model, not a curated record. Lineage: Eukaryota; Metazoa; Chordata; Actinopteri; Batrachoidiformes; Batrachoididae.